AAUGAACGCUGGCGGCGUGGAUUAGGCAUGCAAGUCGAACGCGAAAGUUCCCUUCGGGGGAGCGAGUAGAGUGGCGAAAGGGUGAGUAAUGCUUGGAUGACCUGCCCUCGAGACGGGGACAACAGUUCGAAAGGACUGCUAAUACCCGAUAGUCCGGUUUAGAUGCGUCUAGAUCGGUAAAUGGUGCUUCCGCUCGAGAGGGGUUCAAGUCCUAUCAGCUUGUUGGUGAGGUAACGGCUCACCAAGGCGAUGACGGGUAGCCGGACUGAGAGGUUGGCCGGCCACAUGGGAACUGAGACACUGUCCUGACUCCUACGGGAGGCUGCAGUCGAGAAUCUUCUGCAAUGGG
Molecule: ribosomal RNA, 349 nt
Filed under: uncultured bacterium
Lineage: Bacteria
Description: bacterial SSU rRNA
Rfam family: Bacterial small subunit ribosomal RNA
Source: RNAcentral